RNAcentral lists this transfer RNA (71 nucleotides) under Loxodonta africana (African savanna elephant). It matches the Rfam family "tRNA". Rfam says of the family: Transfer RNA (tRNA) molecules are approximately 80 nucleotides in length. Their secondary structure includes four short double-helical elements and three loops (D, anti-codon, and T loops). Lineage: Eukaryota; Metazoa; Chordata; Mammalia; Proboscidea; Elephantidae. The record is from Rfam by way of RNAcentral.
AUAUUGGUGGUUCAGUGGUAGAAUUCUCGCCUUCCAUACUGGAGACCUGGGUUCGAUUCCCAGGCAAUGGA